AGCGUUAUUCGGAAUUACUGGGCGUAAAGCGUACGUAGGCGGCUUUGUAAGUCAGAGGUGAAAGCCCGGGGCUCAACCCCGGAUGUGCCUUUGAAACUGCAUCGCUUGAACGCCGGAGAGGUGAGUGGAAUUCCGAGUGUAG
This 142-nucleotide ribosomal RNA is filed under the name uncultured Alphaproteobacteria bacterium. Its description in RNAcentral is "partial 16S ribosomal RNA". It matches the Rfam family "Bacterial small subunit ribosomal RNA", at positions 537 to 678 of the family's 1533-position model. The record is from RNAcentral. Lineage: Bacteria; Pseudomonadati; Pseudomonadota; Alphaproteobacteria.